This 253-nucleotide ribosomal RNA is filed under the name uncultured bacterium. Its description in RNAcentral is "partial 16S ribosomal RNA". It matches the Rfam family "Bacterial small subunit ribosomal RNA", at positions 524 to 776 of the family's 1533-position model. The record is from RNAcentral.
UACGGGGGGGGCAAGCGUUGUUCGGAAUUACUGGGCGUAAAGGGCUCGUAGGCGGCCAACUAAGUCAGACGUGAAAUCCCUCGGCUUAACCGGGGAACUGCCAUUGAUACUAUCAAUCUUGAAUCAUCUGGAGGUAAGCGGAAUAUGUCAUGUAGCGGUGAAAUGCUUAGAUAUGACAUAGAACACCAAUUGCGAAGGCAGCUUACUACGGGUGCAUUGACACUGAGGCACGAAAGCGUGGGGAUCAAACAGG